Molecule: long non-coding RNA, 430 nt
Filed under: Homo sapiens (human)
Lineage: Eukaryota; Metazoa; Chordata; Mammalia; Primates; Hominidae
Description: HSALNT0069194
Source: RNAcentral
CCUUCUUUUAAAUCUAAUGUUAGUUUAAAUGCUAAGGCUUUCAAAGUGGGCCUUUAAAGUCACUUUUUAGAAUUUGUAUUUUUUUUUAACCUAAAAUAGACAUGCCAACAUUAUUCUGACUAAAAGAAGUAGACAAGGUCAUUCAACUCCUAAAAGCUUAUUUUCCAAAAGCACAGUUAGGUCUCAGCUUUCAGGGUGCUUCUGGCUGUAUCAAAAAGACAGAAUAUACUGGUCACUGUGUUGUUUUCUGAAAGUGCCGAGGGUAAUCUGUGUAUGAGUUAAAGGGCCAAUUUCCUAUAGGAACCUUCUCUUAGAUGGGAUUUUUUUUUAAUUAAACAAUGUUGGUGAAAUAUAUUUAAACGUAAAUCACAAAUUCGAAGUCUUCCAAAUAUUUAUUUACUAAUGUGGAAGACAUGGAAACUACAGUAAU